AGCGAACGCUGGCGGCAGGCUUAACACAUGCAAGUCGAGCGGGCACUUCGGUGUCAGCGGCAGACGGGUGAGUAACACGUGGGAACGUACCCUUUGGUUCGGAAUAACGCUGGGAAACUAGCGCUAAUACCGGAUACGCCCUUUUGGGGAAAGGCUUGCUGCCGAAGGAUCGGCCCGCGUCUGAUUAGCUAGUUGGUGGGGUAAUGGCCUACCAAGGCGACGAUCAGUAGCUGGUCUGAGAGGAUGAUCAGCCACACUGGGACUGAGACACGGCCCAGACUCCUACGGGAGGCAGCAGUGGGGAAUAUUGGACAGUGGGCGCAAGCCUGAUCCAGCCCUGCCGCGUGAGUGAUGAAGGCCUUAGGGUUGUAAAGCUCUUUUGUCCGGGACGAUAAUGACGGUACCGGAAGAAUAAGCCCCGGCUAACUUCGU
Molecule: ribosomal RNA, 432 nt
Filed under: uncultured bacterium
Lineage: Bacteria
Description: partial 16S ribosomal RNA
Rfam family: Bacterial small subunit ribosomal RNA
Source: RNAcentral